AUUGAACGCUGGCGGCAGGCUUAACACAUGCAAGUCGAGCGGGGGAAGGUAGCUUGCUACCGGACCUAGCGGCGGACGGGUGAGUAAUGCUUAGGAAUCUGCCUAUUAGUGGGGGACAACAUCUCGAAAGGGAUGCUAAUACCGCAUAAGUCUUACGGGAGAAAGCAGGGGAUCUUCGGACCUUGCGCUAAUAGAUGAGCCUAAGUCGGGUUAGCUAGUUGGUGGGGUAAAGGCCUACCAAGGCGACGAUCUGUAGCGGGUCUGAGAGGGUGAUCCGCCACACUGGGACUGAGACACGGCCCAGACUCCUACGGGAGGCAGCAGUGGGGAAUAUUGGACAAUGGGGGGAACCCUGAUCCAGCCAUGCCGCGUGUGUGAAGAAGGCCUUAUGGUUGUAAAGCACUUUAAGCGAGGAGGAGGCUACUCUAGUUAAUACCUAGGGAUAGUGGACGUUACUCGCAGAAUAAGCACCGGCUAACUCUGUGCCAGCAGCCGCAGUAA
RNAcentral lists this ribosomal RNA (501 nucleotides) under uncultured bacterium. RNAcentral's name for it is "partial 16S ribosomal RNA". It matches the Rfam family "Bacterial small subunit ribosomal RNA", at positions 30 to 523 of the family's 1533-position model. The record is from RNAcentral.